RNAcentral lists this ribosomal RNA (433 nucleotides) under uncultured bacterium. RNAcentral's name for it is "partial 16S ribosomal RNA". It matches the Rfam family "Bacterial small subunit ribosomal RNA", at positions 29 to 507 of the family's 1533-position model. The record is from RNAcentral.
AACGAACGCUGGCGGCAUGCCUAACACAUGCAAGUCGAACGAGACCUUCGGGUCUAGUGGCGCACGGGUGCGUAACGCGUGGGAACCUGCCCUUAGGUUCGGAAUAACUCCCUUUAAGGGGUGCUAAUACAGGAUAAUGUCUUCGGACCAAAGAUUUAUCGCCUUUGGAUGGGCCCGCGUUGGAUUAGCUAGUUGGUAGGGUAAAAGCCUACCAAGGCGACGAUCCAUAGCUGGUCUGAGAGGAUGAUCAGCCACACUGGGACUGAGACACGGCCCAGACUCCUACGGGAGGCAGCAGUGGGGAAUAUUGGACAAUGGGCGAAAGCCUGAUCCAGCAAUGCCGCGUGAGUGAUGAAGGCCUUAGGGUUGUAAAGCUCUUUUACCCGGGAUGAUAAUGACAGUACCGGGAGAAUAAGCUCCGGCUAACUCCGUG